AAACCUCUCACGCCCCGCGUUUUAACGAGCGCGCGUGGCUGUGGACCGUGGCCGUCGGCCGGCUUUCAUAGUCGGCCCGGCCGAAAUACAUGCGGAGCGCCUCUGCUGCCCGCGACGACCGAGCGUUGUAGACCCCUCGCUUGAUCGGCGUGAGCGCAGGCUCCCAACCCUAUCU
This 175-nucleotide unclassified non-coding RNA is filed under the name Phyllozyma coprosmicola. RNAcentral describes it as "partial internal transcribed spacer 2". The record is from RNAcentral. Lineage: Eukaryota; Fungi; Basidiomycota; Spiculogloeomycetes; Spiculogloeales; Spiculogloeaceae.